GACGAACGCUGGCGGCGCGCCUAACACAUGCAAGUCGAACGAGAGAGGAAGAGCUUGCUUUUCCGAUCGAGUGGCGAACGGGUGAGUAACGCGUGAGGAACCUGCCUCAAAGAGGGGGACAACAGUUGGAAACGACUGCUAAUACCGCAUAAGCCCACGGCUCGGCAUCGAGCAGAGGGAAAAGGAGCAAUCCGCUUUGAGAUGGCCUCGCGUCCGAUUGGCUAGUUGGUGAGGUAAUGGCCCACCAAGGCGACGAUCGGUAGCCGGACUGAGAGGUUGAACGGCCACAUUGGGACUGAGACACGGCCCAGACUCCUACGGGAGGCAGCAGUGGGGAAUAUUGUACAAUGGGGGAAACCCUGAUGCAGCGACGCCGCGUGGAGGAAGAAGGUCUUCGGAUUGUAAACUCCUGUUGUUGAGGAAGAUAAUGACGGUACUCAACAAGGAAGUGACGGCUAACUACGUGCCAGCCGCCGCCGUAA
Molecule: ribosomal RNA, 482 nt
Filed under: uncultured bacterium
Lineage: Bacteria
Description: partial 16S ribosomal RNA
Rfam family: Bacterial small subunit ribosomal RNA
Source: RNAcentral